AUCCAGUUGACGUGUCCCGAAUGGGGCGAAACGUACGUCCUGAAU
Molecule: non-coding RNA, 45 nt
Filed under: Schistosoma haematobium
Lineage: Eukaryota; Metazoa; Platyhelminthes; Trematoda; Strigeidida; Schistosomatidae
Source: RNAcentral